AGCGAACGUUUGCGGCGGGCCUAACACAUGCAAGUCGAACGCACUAGCAAUAGUGAGUGGCGCACGGGUGCGUAACACGUGGGUAAUCAACCCUUCAGCUUGGGAUAACGACUUGAAAGGGUCGCUAAUACCGGAUACGGCGCGGGAGGCUUCGGCUUCUCACGAGAAAGCCUCGCAAGGGGCACUGAAGGACGAGCCUGCGGCCCAUCAGCUAGUUGGUGAGGUAAGAGCUCACCAAGGCGAAGACGGGUAGCUGGUCUGAGAGGAUGAUCAGCCACACUGGAACUGAGACACGGUCCAGACUCCUACGGGAGGCAGCAGUGGGGAAUAUUGCGCAAUGGGCGAAAGCCUGACGCAGCCACGCCGCGUGAGCGAUGAAGGCCUUCGGGUCGUAAAGCUCUGUGGGGAGAGACGAAGAAAGCCCGUGAAGAGCGGGCCUUGACGGUAGUCUCCUUAGCAAGCACCGGCUAACUCCGUGCCAGCAGCCGCGGUAAC
RNAcentral lists this ribosomal RNA (495 nucleotides) under uncultured bacterium. RNAcentral describes it as "bacterial SSU rRNA". It matches the Rfam family "Bacterial small subunit ribosomal RNA", at positions 29 to 524 of the family's 1533-position model. The record is from RNAcentral.